CGAUAACGAACGAGACCUUAACCUGCUAAAUAGCCCGUAUUGCUUUGGCAGUACGCUGGCUUCUUAGAGGGACUAUCGGCUCAAGCCGAUGGAAGUUUGAGGCAAUAACAGGUCUGUGAUGCCCUUAGAUGUUCUGGGCCGCACGCGCGCUACACUGACUGAGCCAGCGAGUACUCCCUUGACCGGAAGGUCCGGGUAAUCUUGUUAAACUCAGUCGUGCUGGGGACAGAGCAUUGCAAUUAUUGCUCUUCAACGAGGAAUCCCUAGUAAGCGCAAGUCAUCAGCUUGCGUUGAUUACGUCCCUGCCCUUUGUACACACCGCCCGUCGCUACUACCGGAUUGAAUGGCU
Molecule: ribosomal RNA, 349 nt
Filed under: uncultured fungus
Lineage: Eukaryota; Fungi
Description: SSU rRNA
Rfam family: Eukaryotic small subunit ribosomal RNA
Source: RNAcentral